UACGUAGGUGACAAGCGUUGUCCGGAUUUACUGGGUGUAAAGGGCGCGUAGGCGGGAUAGCAAGUCAGUCGUGAAAUGCCGAGGCUUAACCUCGGAGCUGCGAUUGAAACUGUUAUUCUUGAGUAUCGGAGAGGAAAGCGGAAUUCCUAGUGUAGCGGUGAAAUGCGUAGAUAUUAGGAGGAACACCAGUGGCGAAGGCGGCUUUCUGGACGACAACUGACGCUGAGGCGCGAAAGUGUGGGGAGCAA
This 248-nucleotide ribosomal RNA is filed under the name uncultured Oscillospiraceae bacterium. RNAcentral's name for it is "partial 16S ribosomal RNA". It matches the Rfam family "Bacterial small subunit ribosomal RNA", at positions 524 to 771 of the family's 1533-position model. Lineage: Bacteria; Bacillati; Bacillota; Clostridia; Eubacteriales; Oscillospiraceae. The record is from RNAcentral.